This 1049-nucleotide ribosomal RNA is filed under the name Vibrio sp. a29. RNAcentral describes it as "bacterial SSU rRNA". It matches the Rfam family "Bacterial small subunit ribosomal RNA", at positions 311 to 1353 of the family's 1533-position model. The record is from RNAcentral. Lineage: Bacteria; Pseudomonadati; Pseudomonadota; Gammaproteobacteria; Vibrionales; Vibrionaceae.
CACUGGACUGAGACACGGUCCAGACUCCUACGGGAGGCAGCAGUGGGGAAUAUUGCACAAUGGGCGCAAGCCUGAUGCAGCCAUGCCGCGUGUAUGAAGAAGGCCUUCGGGUUGUAAAGUACUUUCAGCAGUGAGGAAGGUGUUGUAGUUAAUAACUGCAUCAUUUGACGUUAGCUGCAGAAGAAGCACCGGCUAACUCCGUGCCAGCAGCCGCGGUAAUACGGAGGGUGCGAGCGUUAAUCGGAAUUACUGGGCGUAAAGCGCAUGCAGGUGGAUGAUUAAGUCAGAUGUGAAAGCCCGGGGCUCAACCUCGGAAUUGCAUUUGAAACUGGUUAUCUAGAGUACUGUAGAGGGGGGUAGAAUUUCAGGUGUAGCGGUGAAAUGCGUAGAGAUCUGAAGGAAUACCGGUGGCGAAGGCGGCCCCCUGGACAGAUACUGACACUCAGAUGCGAAAGCGUGGGGAGCAAACAGGAUUAGAUACCCUGGUAGUCCACGCCGUAAACGAUGUCUACUUGGAGGUUGUGGCCUUGAGCCGUGGCUUUCGGAGCUAACGCGUUAAGUAGACCGCCUGGGGAGUACGGUCGCAAGAUUAAAACUCAAAUGAAUUGACGGGGGCCCGCACAAGCGGUGGAGCAUGUGGUUUAAUUCGAUGCAACGCGAAGAACCUUACCUACUCUUGACAUCCAGAGAACUUUCCAGAGAUGGAUUGGUGCCUUCGGGAACUCUGAGACAGGUGCUGCAUGGCUGUCGUCAGCUCGUGUUGUGAAAUGUUGGGUUAAGUCCCGCAACGAGCGCAACCCUUAUCCUUGUUUGCCAGCGAGUAAUGUCGGGAACUCCAGGGAGACUGCCGGUGAUAAACCGGAGGAAGGUGGGGACGACGUCAAGUCAUCAUGGCCCUUACGAGUAGGGCUACACACGUGCUACAAUGGCGCAUACAGAGGGCAGCAAGCUAGCGAUAGUGAGCGAAUCCCAAAAAGUGNGUCGUAGUCCGGAUUGGAGUCUGCAACUCGACUCCAUGAAGUCGGAAUCGCUAGUAAUCGUGGAUCAGA